ACGGACGCUUGUCUCCGAGACUAAGCCAUGCAUGCGGGUGAACGCGAGGGAACGGCGAACGGCUCAGUAAUACCGCGACGAUCUGCCCCCCGCGGCGAAUAACCACGGGAAACUGUGGCUAAGAGCGGGGGUUGAGACGCGGCCCUAUCAGCUGGUUGGUAGUGUAACGGACUACCAAGGCGUCGACGGGUGACGGGGGAUCGGGGUCCGACACCGGAGAGGGAGCCUGAGAGAUGGCUCCCACGUCCAAGGACGGCAGCAGGCGCGGAAAUUGCCCACUCCCUGGCGGGGAGGCAGUCAGGAGACGUAGCGAGAGGAGCGCAAAGCAAAGGCUUGCGCAGACGCGACCGGAG
This 353-nucleotide ribosomal RNA is filed under the name uncultured Microsporidia. RNAcentral's name for it is "SSU rRNA". It matches the Rfam family "Microsporidia small subunit ribosomal RNA", at positions 26 to 379 of the family's 1311-position model. The record is from RNAcentral. Lineage: Eukaryota; Fungi; Microsporidia.